This 252-nucleotide ribosomal RNA is filed under the name uncultured prokaryote. Its description in RNAcentral is "partial 16S rRNA". It matches the Rfam family "Archaeal small subunit ribosomal RNA", at positions 475 to 726 of the family's 1478-position model. The record is from RNAcentral.
ACCGGCAGCUCAAGUGGUGGCCAUUUUUAUUGGGCCUAAAGCGUUCGUAGCCGGUUUGAUAAGUCUCUGGUGAAAUCCCGCAGCUUAACUGUGGGACUUGCUGGAGAUACUAUUAGACUUGAGGUCGGGAGAGGUUAGGGGUACUCCCAGGGUAGGGGUGAAAUCAUAUAAUCCUGGGAGGAAGACAUGUGGCGAAGGCGCCUAACUGGAACUAGCCUCACGGUGAGUCACGAAAGCCAGGGUUGCGCACCG